This 253-nucleotide ribosomal RNA is filed under the name uncultured bacterium. RNAcentral's name for it is "partial 16S ribosomal RNA". It matches the Rfam family "Bacterial small subunit ribosomal RNA", at positions 524 to 776 of the family's 1533-position model. The record is from RNAcentral.
UACGAAGGGGGCUAGCGUUGCUCGGAAUUACUGGGCGUAAAGGGAGCGUAGGCGGACUGUUUAGUCAGAGGUGAAAGCCCAGGGCUCAACCUUGGAAUUGCCUUUGAUACUGGCAGUCUUGAGUAUGGGAGAGGUGAGUGGAACUCCGAGUGUAGAGGUGAAAUUCGUAGAUAUUCGGAAGAACACCAGUGGCGAAGGCGACUCACUGGCCCAUUACUGACGCUGAGGCUCGAAAGCGUGGGGAGCAAACAGG